This 392-nucleotide ribosomal RNA is filed under the name Falcileptoneta yebongsanensis. RNAcentral's name for it is "partial large subunit ribosomal RNA". It matches the Rfam family "Bacterial large subunit ribosomal RNA", at positions 1928 to 2607 of the family's 2925-position model. Lineage: Eukaryota; Metazoa; Arthropoda; Arachnida; Araneae; Leptonetidae. The record is from RNAcentral.
CAGCCGCAGUAAUCUGUGCUAAGGUAGCAUAAUCAUUUGUCUUAUAAUUAAAGACUAGGAUGAAAGGUCAAACGAAUGAAAAAUUUAAAACUUGUAAAACUAUAAAAUUAUACUUUAUGUAAAAAUACAUAAAUACUACAAAAAGACGACAAGACCCUGUCGAACUUAACUUCAGUUCUGCUGGGACAGCCUUUUCAUAAUAAUUUUAAAACAUUAAUUUCUACAACACCCUUACAAGAAAAGAAAAAGUUACCGCAGGGAUAACAGCGCAAUUUAUUUCAAAAGCUCUUAUACAAAAAUAAGAUUACGACCUCGAUGUUGAAUUAAUUUAACAAAUAAAUGCAAAACUUUAUAAGAAGGUCUGUUCGACCUUUAAACAAUUACAUGAUCUG